RNAcentral lists this ribosomal RNA (347 nucleotides) under uncultured bacterium. Its description in RNAcentral is "bacterial SSU rRNA". It matches the Rfam family "Bacterial small subunit ribosomal RNA", at positions 28 to 373 of the family's 1533-position model. The record is from RNAcentral.
GACGAACGCUGGCGGCGUGCUUAACACAUGCAAGUCGAACGGAAAGGCCCUGCUUUUGUGGGGUGCUCGAGUGGCGAACGGGUGAGUAACACGUGAGUAACCUGCCCUUGACUUUGGGAUAACUUCAGGAAACUGGGGCUAAUACCGGAUAGGAGCUCCUGCUGCAUGGUGGGGGUUGGAAAGUUUCGGCGGUUGGGGAUGGACUCGCGGCUUAUCAGCUUGUUGGUGGAGUAGUGGCUUACCAAGGCUUUGACGGGUAGCCGGCCUGAGAGGGUGACCGGCCACAUUGGGACUGAGAUACGGCCCAGACUCCUACGGGAGGCAGCAGUGGGGAAUAUUGCACAAUA